GAUAAACGCUGGCGGCGUGCAUGAGACAUGCAAGUCAUACGGGCGAGCUUGCUCGCUAGUGGCGGACGGCUGAGUAACGCGUAGGUGACCUACCCCGAAGUGGGGAAUAACUGCCCGAAAGGGUGGCUAAUACCGCAUGUGAUGGUUCGUUCGUUCGGAUCAUCAAAGCAGCGAUGCGCUUCGGGAGGGGCCUGCGUCCGAUUAGCUCGUUGGUGGGGUAACGGCUCACCAAGGCGACGAUCGGUAGGUGGUCUGAGAGGACGAUCACCC
Molecule: ribosomal RNA, 270 nt
Filed under: uncultured bacterium
Lineage: Bacteria
Description: partial 16S ribosomal RNA
Rfam family: Bacterial small subunit ribosomal RNA
Source: RNAcentral